Molecule: non-coding RNA, 277 nt
Organism: Pelobates cultripes (western spadefoot toad)
Lineage: Eukaryota; Metazoa; Chordata; Amphibia; Anura; Pelobatidae
Source: the annotation of a GenBank genome assembly
AGUCAAACACUCUGCCUGCACAGCUCACAUUAAACUCUUGCACUGUUUAGUAUCCUUCUAUACCGUUCGUUCAUACGAACGAUCCAAUCUCCUAGUUAGUGGUCUUUCACCGUUUACUGCUUCAUGUACAUUCGUACAGUAUAAGGGGUCUUUUCCCUUAGUUAUUCACUUAGUCUUUCGGUUAAAGCAGCAGAUCUAUGGUUAUCAUUCAUAAACUUUUCACAUGGCUGUAUGCUGCUGCAUGCUUUCACUUAACUUUGGUAAAAAAACAAGCAAU